GACAGAGGUGCCGAGCGUUAGGCGGAAUCACUGGGCUUAAAGCGUGUGUAGGCGGACGGGCAAGUACCUUGUGAAAUCCCACGGCUCAACCGUGGAACGGCUGGGUAUACUGCCUGUCUUGAGCCAACUAGGGGCGAGCGGAACAGACGGUGGAGCGGUGAAAUGCGUAGAUAUCGUCUGGAACGCCAAAGGUGAAAACAGCUCGCUGGGGUUGUGCUGACGCUGAGACACGAAAGCCAGGGGAGCGAACGGG
This 253-nucleotide ribosomal RNA is filed under the name uncultured bacterium. RNAcentral describes it as "partial 16S ribosomal RNA". It matches the Rfam family "Bacterial small subunit ribosomal RNA", at positions 524 to 776 of the family's 1533-position model. The record is from RNAcentral.